Camelus dromedarius (Arabian camel) is the source of this 640-nucleotide long non-coding RNA. RefSeq lists it as uncharacterized. Lineage: Eukaryota; Metazoa; Chordata; Mammalia; Artiodactyla; Camelidae. The record is from RefSeq and is a predicted model, not a curated record. The transcript is spliced from 5 exons.
ACACCCAGUAGCCUGAUUUACUCCUCAGUCUUUAUUUUUUUUUUUUUUUUCAGAAUUUUCUUGGCAAGUCGCUUCCAUGAGUGAGCCUACAUUAUAGAAUUGUAGAAGAAAUGAUACGAACAGGAGCAAGUUCAGUAGCCUAAGCACCACCUGUGAUAAAGGAGAGAUCUGCAGGCCCUAUGAAAUUUUUAAAGAUUGGAAAUACAAGGAACAGAAGAAUGAAUUAAAUGGCACCACCAGGAUACAAUCUGCAAACUCUACAAUGUGGAAAAUUCUAUGAGACAGUGACUGGUUGAAUAAGAAAGAACUGGGAUCUUCUCACUCUUGUAAAGGUGAGAAAAGCAGGAAAUUGGUGGUUCCAAGUAUCAUUGAUACUCUACAGCUCACAUCUGCAAACUGCCAGCCACAAGCCUACAUCUGUUUUACCUGCAAGAGCUCCUAAAGGUGAAUUGUCUUUGUGGGUUAUACUCUUUCAAAUUGUCCCCCCAAAACACUUGCCCACAGUUUGGGGCCUAUUUGUCCUUUCAGGUUACCAGCUUGCAGGUUAAUCUGGCACAUGUUUAAAUAAGAAUUACUAUGAUAGCAAUGUUUCUCUUCAUUUAAUUUGUAGUUUGAGUUGUGUCCCCUGGAUAUAUAUAUG